GAGCCGAUAGCUCAGUAGGUAGAGCAGCGGACUUUUAAUCCGCGGGUCGAGGGUUCGAUUCCCUCUCGGCUCACCA
RNAcentral lists this transfer RNA (76 nucleotides) under Limnochordales bacterium. Its description in RNAcentral is "tRNA-Lys". It matches the Rfam family "tRNA". Rfam says of the family: Transfer RNA (tRNA) molecules are approximately 80 nucleotides in length. Their secondary structure includes four short double-helical elements and three loops (D, anti-codon, and T loops). Further hydrogen bonds mediate the characteristic L-shaped molecular structure. tRNAs have two regions of fundamental functional importance: the anti-codon, which is responsible for specific mRNA codon recognition, and the 3' end, to which the tRNAs corresponding amino acid is attached (by aminoacyl-tRNA synthetases). tRNAs cope with the degeneracy of the genetic code in two manners: having more than one tRNA (with a specific anti-codon) for a particular amino acid; and 'wobble' base-pairing, i.e. permitting non-standard base-pairing at the 3rd anti-codon position. Lineage: Bacteria; Bacillati; Bacillota; Limnochordia; Limnochordales. The record is from RNAcentral.